GGAUGAGCCAUGCCCCCCAUCUGGCUCUGACCUCCCCUGCGCCAGCUCUGGGUACUAGAAAGUCGCGGUUCUGCUGCUAGACGUUUUCUUCCUUUCUUUAGGUUGUUGCAUGGCAUAAGUAAAGUGACAGUUAUAGGAUACAUGCAACUUUUCAGUGACAAAGAUCUGUGCAGCAUCGACAGUACUGCCUAAUGAGGUUUCACCAUAAUGAAGUAUCACAACCAGUUUACAGACCAGAAAACUGAGACACAGGAAGGGGUGGUGACUUGAGCAAGGUGCAUCAGCUGGUUUCCAGAAGUUCCCCAGUCAUUGAGCAUUUCUGAGGCUCUUGAUGCAUAUGCCAAGUAGUUAUGGAGAAAGACACAGCAGCUUACCUCUGCAGGCAUCAUUGUGUGAAAGGAAGACCCAGGCUCUCUCACCACCCUUGAACAGAAGCCUUUUGCUAAGGUGAUAGCUACAUGUCCAAGCCUAUUGCGUGGCAUGCAUUUUGCCUUCUGCAGCCCACUAAAGGAAAUUGAAGUAUACAGAAUGCUUAUUUGGUCUACUCAGUAUCAUCCUAAAUGUAUGUACCAAUGCUUAGGAGUUUGCAGUUCACCCGCAAACCUCAGCGAUCCAAGCUCCCCUGGAUGACCAUCACUCACCAAGAAAAGAGCAAUAACAGGACCUGUUUUGCUAAUCCAGGAC
This 684-nucleotide long non-coding RNA is filed under the name Homo sapiens (human). RNAcentral describes it as "non-protein coding lnc-CMPK2-5:77". The record is from RNAcentral. Lineage: Eukaryota; Metazoa; Chordata; Mammalia; Primates; Hominidae.